UACGGAGGGUGCAAGCGUUAUCCGGAUUCACUGGGUUUAAAGGGUGCGUAGGCGGACAGGUAAGUCAGUGGUGAAAUCCCCGAGCUCAACUUGGGAACUGCCGUUGAUACUAUCUGUCUUGAAUACCGUGGAGGUGAGCGGAAUAUGUCAUGUAGCGGUGAAAUGCUUAGAUAUGACAUAGAACACCGAUUGCGAAGGCAGCUCACUACGCGGUCAUUGACGCUGAGGCACGAAAGCGUGGGGAGCAAACAGG
RNAcentral lists this ribosomal RNA (253 nucleotides) under uncultured bacterium. RNAcentral describes it as "partial 16S ribosomal RNA". It matches the Rfam family "Bacterial small subunit ribosomal RNA", at positions 524 to 776 of the family's 1533-position model. The record is from RNAcentral.